This 460-nucleotide ribosomal RNA is filed under the name uncultured bacterium. Its description in RNAcentral is "partial 16S ribosomal RNA". It matches the Rfam family "Bacterial small subunit ribosomal RNA", at positions 338 to 795 of the family's 1533-position model. The record is from RNAcentral.
CCUACGGGUAGCAGCAGUGAGGAAUAUUGGUCAAUGGGCGCGAGCCUGAACCAGCCAAGUAGCGUGAAGGAUGACUGCCCUACGGGUUGUAAACUUCUUUUAUAAAGGAAUAAAGUGAGGCACGUGUGCCUUUUUGUAUGUACUUUAUGAAUAAGGAUCGGCUAACUCCGUGCCAGCAGCCGCGGUAAUACGGAGGAGACGAGCGUUAUCCGGAUUUAUUGGGUUUAAAGGGAGCGUAGAUGGGUGUUUAAGUCAGUUGUGAAAGUUUGCGGCUCAACCGUAAAAUUGCAAUUGAUACUGGGAGUCUUGAGUACAGUUGAGGGAGGCGGAAUUCGUGGUGUAGCGGUGAAAUGCUUAGAUAUCACGAAGAACACCGAUGGCGAAGGCAGCUUACUAAACUGCCACUGACAUUGAUGCGCGAAAGUGUGGGUAGCAAACAGGAUUAGAUACCCGAGUAGUC